Molecule: non-coding RNA, 5754 nt
Organism: Taeniopygia guttata (zebra finch)
Lineage: Eukaryota; Metazoa; Chordata; Aves; Passeriformes; Estrildidae
Source: RefSeq, a predicted model, not a curated record
UGGACCCUUUCAGCCUGACCCAUUCUGGGAUUCUGUGAGGGGAAAUGCAAAGUGAUGCCUGGGUGUGGUGCUGUAGGAAAAGGUGAAAAAACAACAAUUUUAACAAACAUUCUUUGAAUAGGGAAAGGCAGGUGAUUUCAAUUAAAAUAGCACGUGGCAAAGCCCACCAGAAGAGGUACUGCAGGGGCUACUGAAGCACACACACCCAGGAUUGCCCUGGUUGAACUUCAAAUGGUUGGUGAUUGCCCAGCCCUCUGAUUUGUCUGGGUCUCUGCAGGGCCUCCCUUCCCUCAAGGGAGUCAGCAGCCCCUCCCAGUUUAGUGUCCUUGGCAAACUUAGUAUCCCACCCAAGUCGUUGAUGGGGAUGUUGAAGAGCACAGGGCUGAGGCUGGGCCCUGUGGAACCCCCGUGGGGACAGGACACCAGCCUGCUGUCACCCCAUCCACUGCAGCCCUUGGUGCUGACCCGUGAGCCAAAGCUCACCCAUCCCAUGAUGUGUUUAUCCAGCUGUGUGCUGGACAUUUUGUCCACAAGGAUCUGGGAGAGACAGUACUGAAUGUUUUACUGAAAUCCAAAAGGAUUGCAUAACUGGCUCAUUAACAUUUUUAAUUAGGUCUAUUUAUAGGACUAAUAAAACUGAAAAGCUUUUUGAUUCAGAACACCUUCAAAGGUAUUUGCAAAAGUAUGAAGUCAAAGUGUCCUGUGUUUUUAUGGCUUGCUGCUUGCAGCAGAAGCCUGGAGUACUGCCUUAAGGGACAUUAAAUCUGAUGUUGCUGGCAGAGCAUCAACAUUCCAAUAACAAAAGAGGGUCUGUGGGCCUGUUAAAGCUGGUAUCAGAGAUCCAGGCUGAUAUCCAAGUGCUGAGUCAUUGAGUCACAGUAAAGCUGCUAUCAAAGAAACUUAAUUGUUUAAGAACUUUCAACUCAUCUCUGGGAACAUGAGAGAAAGGUCUGGUCACCUCACCCAACUUCAGCUGUCUCAAACAUCCAGUCUGAGGCCAUUGACUGUGAAGAGAGAGGAGGAGAGGGCACCUCCAGGGCUCAGUUCCUUCCACCCUCUUUGGAGAUGUGUUUUAGGAAAGGAACCACCCACCAGAGCUCUGUCCCAGGGCUGCCUUUUCUCCCCAAGUGCCACCUCACAGAUGCCUGAAGCCAAGUGAGAUGAAUUCAGCCCUAACUGGCAGCUAUAACCUAAUGAUGGAAAUCACGUGGCAGCGUUCCAGGAGGUAUUGGCAAUUCACAGAGUUCCCAGAUUCUUUUUUUAAACCAUCUUUUAUGAUUUAUGGAGGUCAAUUAUAUAAAGCCCAUCAGAACACAAGAAAUGUUUAAAAAUGCUGCAUUAGAGAGACAUUAAUGUUAAUCCUCCUAAGGUGGUAAUGGCUGUAGCCUUCCCAGCCUGCUGCUCUGCCCUGCUGUGUAAUGCAUCCAGUUUUUCUAUUUACAGAUUUACAGAUUCUAUUUUUGGUGUUAACAAAGAAUAUGAGCAUAUGUAUCAAAGACUGUUCUCAUAUCAUCUAAUUAUAGUACUGCUGGCAAAGUAAUUCUGGAAAGUGCCACUUAAUUAAAUGUAAGCAUUAACUUUUUCCUGAUAGUUUAUCAGAAACAAUUAGACUUGAAAUAUGUGCAAUACACCUAGAGUUUAAAACUUUCAGUAGAAGCAUUAAAAGCACAAAAUAACCCAAUUUCUCUUGCAUCCUCCAGUGUUUUCCUGCUGAGCACAACCUCAGUUUUCAUCUGUACAGUGUGUCUUAGGUAGUCUAGAGGCUGCAAGUUUAUCUGGACUCCUCUUUGUGUGCAAAAAGCUGAGCUAAGAGAAUGCUUUUGAAAGUAGUUAAACCACUUCAGCAUAGUUGAUGUUUUUGCCAUUUCCUCCUGAAAUAUCAGAUGUAUUUUGCUGACUAUUUGAGGUCUGCACACAACAACCCAGGAACUGUUGGGGGCAAUCAGACAAUCUCACAGCUUAUGCCAAAUGCUUAUUCUUUGCAAGGGCAGCUUGAUCAGCAUUUAUGUUCAUUAACUUGAUCAGGGAUAUGCUUUUUUGUCCAUGUGACAAUGUGAAAUAUUAGUUAAUUCCAUGUAAUUUUUCAUCAAUAGCCAGAUUUAUCUAUCAGAUAAUUACACCUAAAGUAUCUCUGCAGAACUUUGAGCUCUGCUGCUUUUUACCUGAAAAGUGAAGAGGGGAAAAAAGAAAAACAGAGCUGUAAAGAAAAUAAUUCUUAAGUAAAGAUACAAGGUCUAAAAGAAACAAUUCCUUCAGAAGGUUUGUUUGACAACAUACAGCAAAACUACAUAGCAACUGAGGAGAGAUGCUUUUCCCAGGUCUAACAUUUGGGCAAGCAGCAGUAGCAGGAGGAUCUGAAAUAACACCAUCUGGUGAAUGCCUGUUUCUUUCUUCAGCAAUCAAGAACUAUGUGUAACUAUAAACAAGGAAUAAAAUAGAAAUAAUGCAAAACUACUUUUCAGUUAAAUGUUACACAGAAUGAACAAACAGCUGCUCUGGGAAUGCAGAAAAGAAUGAUGUUAAAUAUAGUAGGAAAUUUGAGCAUGCUGCUCCUAUAAAUACAUGAACCAACUUUGCACACAGAAUUUAUGAUUCUGCAGAGCUGUGGACAGGGAAGCUUAGGCCCAGACUGGAGAGCAACUAUUCUAGCAAUAAAUGUAGCAACGAUUUAACCAUCACACAAGGAGAGCUCAUCCCUUGACAGUGUGAAAUCAAGCUGCAGGACAUCUGUGCCUGCCUUUAUGUCCCAUUUUUUGCCAGUCAGAAUGCCUAUGUUUCUCCUGUUUGACAGUCUGAUGUGAUUUGCCGAAUUUUGGGCUACUCAACCUUCAGAAGACAGUCAAAAUACAGGAGUUUGCACAAGAGGUUGCACUUGGGUGUUUGAUACUGUUGGUGGCAGAAGCAAAUAUACAUUUAGGUGAUUUAACGUUAAUCCUAUGGUUUUUAUAUCAAUAUUUAGCAUCCUAUCUGUAAAAAUUUGUGAAAGUAACUCAGAGCUCAGUUUUUACAAAGACUGCUAUUUUACAUUGAUAAGAGUAUUGCAAAAUCCUUGAAAAGUCAAAGCAGAACUGGAAGUUGAAAAAGCAAAGCCACAAAAUCUUAAAUCCAACCUUACCUGGUAAGUGCCACUGAUUAACCACCACAGGAAUCUGGUAAGGAAGAGACUGUCACUUAACUCAGUCCCCAGUCACAUCAAACUCCACAAAAGGUAUUUUGAAGAUGCUGCUGGGGUCACUAACAAGGCAGAGCAAGAUGAUUGAGGUUUUGGAGGCUGUGUCAUAUGAGGAGAGGCUGAGAGAGCUGAUGCUGUUCAGCCUGGAAAAGGCUCAGAUUCCAUAGUACUGCCCCACAGGACAAGAGGCAAGGGGCACAAAUUGGAAUACAAGAAAUGUGUUUAAACCUGAUUUAAAAGGUUUUAUUGUGAAGUUAAUUGAACACUGAAAACAGAUUGCCCAGAGAAAUUGUGGAUUCUCCAUCCAAGAAGACAUUCAGAACUCCACAGGUGAAGGUCUUGCAACCUGCUGUAGGUGACCCUGCUUUGAGCUGGGGGUUGGAAGAGGUGAUCUCCACACAUUCCUCCUGACUUCAGCUAUUCUGUUCUCUCUAAUGGAUUCAACUCGUGUAACUUCAUGAUCACUUCUUGCCUUGUUUUGUAUCUCUACACACAUGAGAAAUUUAAUGCCCUUUCCAGAGUACCAGAUACAUACUGAAAAACAGGUCAGAUACAUGGGCAUUUGUCUUUUUAUUAAUGUUGCAAAUUAGGAGAUGCCCUACAAGAGGAGUUUCCUGUAGUUUUAUGUCUACCACAUUUUUAGUAGCAGGUAAGCUGAAGCAUAUAUGCUGCUAUUUCUAAACAUUCAAAAUAAAUAUGCACCAUACUAACUUUAUAAAUAUUAAAGUAGAACUAAAAGUGUAUUUAGCAAACAAAAUAAUAAAUAAGCAAAGGGAAGCAGAUAAGUCUAAUUAUCAAAGGAGAUAAAACUAAAUUGCACGUUCAAAGGAGCCCACAUGUGCUAGAAUUCCAGAAACAGUUGAAAGAGACAUUUUUGUGUUUGCUGACAGAAAUUUUUGUGUUUGCUGAAGAGUAGCAUUCUUCACUAUCAAUUACAGCUUCUCAGACUUCUAUCCAUGGAGUUUUAUUCUUUCCAAAGAUUCUGAACAAGGUUUUACAAAUCAGAGCAAGUGCAUUGUUUGAAAGACACCCUGAAAACAAAGGUAAACCUCAGAGCUGCAGCAUCCUUGCCAGAGUGGGAAACCACAGCUCGAAAGCUGAAGGGCAGGAACCAUCCCAAAGCAGCAGAACCACAGGAAUGUUUAGGUUGGAAAACAGCAAUGUCUGAGCCCAGCCAUUAACCCAGCACUGCCAAUCCCACCACUGAACCAAGUCCCUCAGUGGCACAUCAACAGGAAUUUGAAAUUCCUCCAUGAAUGGUGACUCCAGCACUGCCUCGGGUGGCCAGUUCCAACAGUACUACCUUCAAGACCAACAAGCAGUUAAUAUUACAUUCUUUUAGAACCUAAUUAGUACCAUCGGUUUUUAACAAGAGAAUGCCCAAUUUACUGCAAAAAUGAAAGAGUGUUUCUGCAGAGUUUCAAUAAAACUCAAAUUAUUUUAUUCACAAAAGCAGAAGUCAAUAAAAAUAUAGAUAUCCUGAUCAAUUUUACAGACCAUGUUCUUCUCUCCUUCACUGACAGGCAAAAGCAUCAUGAAAAAAAAGUAACAAGCAUUUACAUCACAAACCAUUAUUAACACAGAUCCGUGUAUAUGAGCAAAUAUUACAGGUCCAACAAACAUUCCUUUUGUUUUUUUUCUGUGCUAUUGUGUUUUUCCGUGGUGAAUAUGUGCUGUCUCACUGGUAUUUAACUAAGUUUUUGGUAGAAACUGAAAUGUAUGAACUCACUGCAUUCAAAGUGUUUUCUCUGAAUUCUAAACCCCUUUAUAGGAUUAAAUGAGGAUGUUCAUGCUAUAUUACUCAAGAGAUGCAGAAAAAAAAAAAAAUCAACAUUGCUACUAACAGAAUCAGGAAGUUCAGGUUUUAUUAUUUUUAUGGAGCAGCUCCCUAAAAAAUACCUGAAGAUAUCCUCAUCAUUCAAAUCCAACUUCUGUCAGCUCAGUGUUUACACAGGGAACUGGAAGAAAAUCUUUGCUCUUUUGAAGAUAUAUAAAUGUUCCCUAGAAAUCAGUUUUGUAACGUUUAUACAAGUCUGGCUUUCAGGACCAUGAUGGAAGACAACAGAGAUUAAAGACAAGGCCAAUUACUCCUGGUUUGGUUUGCAGUGCUUUUUUUUUUUUUUUUUAAAUCCACCUAAUAGGACUGAACUCCCAUCUGGAAAAACUGUCAUUGAAAUAAAGAGACCAAGUGCUAAUUUUAUGUCUUUAUUCCACUUUUAACACCUUUGAACUUUGUAGAGAUGAAAAAUUCGUGAACUCUUCCAUCAUACAGACCUUGACAAAAAUGUUUGUAGAACAGGUUACAAAAUUACAAACCCAAACCUACUUGAAAACAAAAACCAAUCAGAAAAUGCUUGCUUUUUCAAAAAGCAAGUAAUGAACUAGGAGGAAGAAACACCGUAGUACAGAAACUUACUUUAUGGAAGGGUUAUCUUGUACAGAAACCAACCCCAAACUCAUAAUUAUUACUGCUAUAAUUCUGAUGAUCAAAUUUACAAUAAAAUUUCGGAUUGCUUGUAUGCAGAGUGCUCCUGCCUCUGCCUACCUCAGCCCUGGGAGCAUCACCACCGGGGAACAGUUUA